This is a non-coding RNA of Chrysemys picta bellii (western painted turtle), 1153 nucleotides long. The record is from RefSeq and is a predicted model, not a curated record. NCBI's taxonomy places the organism in Eukaryota, Metazoa, Chordata, Testudines, Emydidae.
CUGGCGGGAGAUUUGAAUGAGGGCGCGGGCGGGAAACUGUGGCGGCCGCUGGCGCUGCAGUAGGAGGCGAUGGGGAGCCUGGGUUCGCUUCCACGCCGCUUGCUGACGCCGGAGAGCGGCGAUUCGGGGGCUGACUCGGACCCGGCAGGGGAACCGGCUCUGCCUGGCCCGGGGCUCCCACCGGGGGCUGCCACGCAUGUGGCGGUGCCGCCAGCGAGAUACCCGGACCUCACCGGGAGUACGGGGGCGGCGGCCGCGCUGGUCCCGGCCGGGCAGCAGCCCCAGGCAGUCCCACUGCCGAGUCCCCCCAGGGAGCGGGGAGACCCGAGGAAGAGCUGCCGGUACCUGCGCGUUUCAGAGCUGUGUUCAAACAUCUGGAUCUGGAAAUGUCUAGCCUGUAUGGCUAUGGUUACAGUCAUCUUGGUUACAAUCGUAUUGGUUAAAAUCUCCCUGGAUCUCAGAGGUUCUGUUCACACACAUAGUGAGAGACAGUCCCUGCCCCAUAGACCUUACAAUCUACAUUGAGAAGACAAAGGGUUGGUGGGGACUCCCAGACACAAAGAGCCAUAGAACGUGUCCCUGCUGUGACUGGAAAGUGCAUACCCUGCCCAGGAAGCUGGAUGUGGUUCAGAGGGCAAUGUUACUAUUUUUCCAAAGAAACCCAGGACUGGGAUGCCAGUAAGGAGUUUUGCAGUUCUCAUAAUGCCACACUUGCUGUGAUAAAAGAACCAUCACAACUGGAGACUAUUAACUCUUUUAAAGGAAAUGAGGAUUACUGGCUUGGACUAAGCAAAGGAGGAGAGGGAUGGCAGUGGGUGGAUGGAUCUCCAUUUACUAAUACCAUAAUUCAGUUGGAAAAUGAUGCCCCAAACUUGAACUGUGCUUUCCUUAGCAUGAAGCAAGUUGCUACUGUAGACUGCACAUCUCUAAGAUACUGGAUCUGUAUCAAAGAGUCCAGAUGAGUUUUCUCAAUCAGCAAUGAAAGGUUUGUUUGAUGCAAGUUGCAAAUGAAAUUUGUCUUCUGUGCUGUGUUGGAAGCAUGUCCUCUGGAAUGGUGGCUGAAGCAUGAAGGGGCAUACAAAUGUUUAGCAUAUCUGGCACGUAAAUACCUUGCAAUGCGAGCUACAGAAGUACCUUGCAAACACCUGUUCUC